UCGAAAGGUGUGCUAAUACCGCAUAUUCUCUGAGGAGGAAAGUAGGGGAUCGAAAGACCUUAUGCUUUUGGAGCGGCCGAUGUCUGAUUAGCUAGUUGGUGAGGUAAUGGCUUACCAAGGCGACGAUCAGUAGUUGGUCUGAGAGGACGGCCAGCCACACUGGGACUGAGACACGGCCCAGACUCCUACGGGAGGCAGCAGUGGGGAAUUUUGGACAAUGGGCGCAAGCCUGAUCCAGCAAUGCCGCGUGAGUGAAGAAGGCCUUCGGGUUGUAAAGCUCUUUCAGUCGAGAAGAAAAGGUUGUGACUAAUAAUCAUAACUCAUGACGGUAUCGACAGAAGAAGCACCGGCUAACUACGUGCCAGCAGCCGCGGUACUACGUAGGGUACGAGCGUUGAUCGGAAUUACUGGGCGUAAAGGGUGCGCAGGCGGUUCUGUAAGUCAGAUGUGAAAUCCCUGGGCUGAACCUGGGAACUGC
Molecule: ribosomal RNA, 478 nt
Filed under: uncultured bacterium
Lineage: Bacteria
Description: bacterial SSU rRNA
Rfam family: Bacterial small subunit ribosomal RNA
Source: RNAcentral